AGAUUGAACGCUGGCGGCAGGCCUAACACAUGCAAGUCGAGCGGUAGAGAGGUGCUUGCACCUCUUGAGAGCGGCGGACGGGUGAGUAAUGCCUAGGAAUCUGCCUAGUGGUGGGGGAUAACGUUCGGAAACGGACGCUAAUACCGCAUACGUCCUACGGGAGAAAGCGGGGGACCUUCGGGCCUCGCGUCAUUAGAUGAGCCUAGGUCGGAUUAGCUAGUUGGUGAGGUAAUGGCUCACCAAGGCGACGAUCCGUAACUGGUCUGAGAGGAUGAUCAGUCACA
This 284-nucleotide ribosomal RNA is filed under the name uncultured soil bacterium. RNAcentral describes it as "partial 16S ribosomal RNA". It matches the Rfam family "Bacterial small subunit ribosomal RNA", at positions 26 to 312 of the family's 1533-position model. The record is from RNAcentral.